GAGACGAGUCGUGAGACACGUUCGUAGCGAUCGAUAGAGCUUCCGACCCGUUUUGUUCAGUUUAGUUCCUAUCGCGUUAUUUCUGAUGAUAUGAUUUAGAUAGUAAUUAUAUGGUUCAGUAUUUUUAUUACAUUUGAAUAUUUGAAUUUUCAUGAAUGUAAUAAAAGAAUUUGUGGAUUUUGUGAAAUGAAAAAUAAUUUUCUACCCCUCGUAGUAGCGUUUUUUAAAAGAAAAAUGUUUCCGUGUGGAAAACGGUGUUUAAAAAGGUUUUCUCAGUUUUCAGGACUUAGUGUUUUUAAAAACGAGUUUUCAAGUAGGAAACGUUUUAAAACUAAUAGCUGUGGAUUUAUGUUUAAACCCUGAAUGUGAACCUGUGGUGAAUGGUGUAUGAAUAUCUAAAUAGUUGAAUGUUGUAUAUUCAUCUGUGGUGGUUAUAUCCUGGUUAUACGUUUUGUACUUAUGCGACGCCGUGCGAAUAUAGGGGAGACUCUGUCCGUGUGAACAGUGGACUCCCUAUAUUUGU
This 523-nucleotide long non-coding RNA is filed under the name Ananas comosus (pineapple). RNAcentral describes it as "long non-coding RNA (ACOM_LNC042323)". The record is from RNAcentral. Lineage: Eukaryota; Viridiplantae; Streptophyta; Magnoliopsida; Poales; Bromeliaceae.